This is a long non-coding RNA of Dendronephthya gigantea, 189 nucleotides long. RefSeq lists it as uncharacterized. The record is from RefSeq and is a predicted model, not a curated record. Lineage: Eukaryota; Metazoa; Cnidaria; Anthozoa; Malacalcyonacea; Nephtheidae. The transcript has 3 exons.
AUUCCUUUGAAUUGAACGGGGUGAUGAGCUCAUCAAUAGAUAAGUGCUGUUACACGAAUCUGGAAUAACUGCUGUUUACUGUAAUAAAGGCCUAGGAAAAAUGAAGAGAGGCAACGAUGAAGAGGGUGACGAAGAACAAAGAGAUGGAAACACCAGUGAUUUAACUGAGAACGAUGCAUACGAAGAGGU